RNAcentral lists this unclassified non-coding RNA (72 nucleotides) under Flavobacteriaceae bacterium MAR_2010_188. RNAcentral describes it as "Flavo-1 RNA". The record is from RNAcentral. Lineage: Bacteria; Pseudomonadati; Bacteroidota; Flavobacteriia; Flavobacteriales; Flavobacteriaceae.
AAAAAUCCCGCGUGAGGGAUUGAGGCGGCAUCUCCCGCUAGGGUGGGAAUAUAGCCGAAAGCCCGACCCAGA